This 253-nucleotide ribosomal RNA is filed under the name uncultured bacterium. Its description in RNAcentral is "partial 16S ribosomal RNA". It matches the Rfam family "Bacterial small subunit ribosomal RNA", at positions 524 to 776 of the family's 1533-position model. The record is from RNAcentral.
UACGUAGGGGGCAAGCGUUGUCCGGAAUCAUUGGGCGUAAAGGGCGCGUAGGUGGCCUGCUAAGCGUGCGGUGAAAGCCUGGGGCUCAACCCCGGGUCGGCCGUGCGAACUGGUGGGCUUGAGCACUGUAGAGGCAGGCGGAAUUCCGGGUGUAGCGGUGGAAUGCGUAGAGAUCCGGAAGAACACCGGUGGCGAAGGCGGCCUGCUGGGCAGUAGCUGACACUGAGGCGCGACAGCGUGGGGAGCAAACAGG